This 254-nucleotide ribosomal RNA is filed under the name uncultured bacterium. Its description in RNAcentral is "partial 16S ribosomal RNA". It matches the Rfam family "Bacterial small subunit ribosomal RNA", at positions 524 to 776 of the family's 1533-position model. The record is from RNAcentral.
UACAGAGGGCGCGAGCGUUGUCCGGAAUCACUGGGCGUAAAGGGCGCGUAGGUGGCCACCAUAAGGCCGCUGUGAAAGUCCAGGGCUCAACCCUGGGAUGCCGGUGGAUACUGUCGGGCUCGAGUCCGGAAGAGGAGUGUGGAAUUCCUGGUGUAGCGGUGAAAUGCGCGGAUAUCAGGAGGAACACCAAUGGCGAAGGCAGCACUCUGGGACGUGACUGACGCUGAGACGCGAAAGCGUGGGGAGCAAACAGG